AAAAACAUAGUCCUGUCUCUCGUUGGUCGCAGACUGUGGUGCCCAUGGCUUGGUGUGACCCAUUGGGAGGUCAUGACACUCUGGCCCUUAUGCUUUCUGAUCUCUGUGCUGACAAGAGCUCAAACCACGGAUGGGAUCCUGCUUCUCAAAACAGCACCGUAAAGACAGGAGGGCCUGACAGUCCUCUCGGGUGACAGGUGACAGGCUCUGCUUUUCCACACACGCCUGUAACAAACCCCUCGGCACGAAUGUGUGUGGGGUGUCAGCUGGGCUCCAAGGAACUUCUCAAUGCUUCCGAAUGAGGAGUGUGGUCUUUGGUGAAAUUGGAGCAAACAUUCAGCUGUGAGCGCCAGAGACCUCCUGGGAGCCUGAUCCAAGCCCAGAAAGUGCUGGAAGGAAGAGUGGUGACCACUUCUAAAAAGUCAGAUGGCUGCGACUGAGCUCAGAGGUAGAUUCAGGAGCCUGCUGUGUUCAUUAAGCAGUGGCAGAGAAAAUAUUCACUCAACUCUGUAAACGCUCACCUCACACAUGCUCAGCGCCUGCCCCUGACAGAAGACUCAACUAUAGCGAGAGGCUGGCAUGAAAUGAGUGAAUACAGGAGCUGAUAGGAGGAUACCGUGUGGCGUGUACAGGCUGUCUUGAACGUGCAGGCAUUGCUCCUCCAAAGGUUUUAUUGUACGUUUGCCUUGAUUCCUUCAUGGUUUUCAGUGUGGGACUGAGCCCAGGACCUCAUCCAUGCCAGGCAGACACUCUAUGCCAAGCCCCGGCCCUUUUUCCUCAGAGGCAGAGGGGUCACGAGUCCCACUGAGUUGCCCAAGCUGGCCUUCAGCAGUAAUCCUCUUGCCUCAGCCUCCCGAGUAGCUGGCACGUCAGACGUGUGCCCAGCUCUGUGACUCCAGCACCUCCACCACACCCUCCUCUCCCUCAUGGAGCUCUGGUCUUUCUCCGUGAAGCAGGAUUCCAGCAUGUGCUUUGAGGUCAGAAGGACAUGUGGAGCCAGGGUCCUGGUGCUUUGUGGUCCUAAAAUCCACCUCUGAAGGGUGGGGA
Molecule: long non-coding RNA, 1047 nt
Organism: Microtus ochrogaster (prairie vole)
Lineage: Eukaryota; Metazoa; Chordata; Mammalia; Rodentia; Cricetidae
Exons: 4
Source: RefSeq, a predicted model, not a curated record